Molecule: ribosomal RNA, 253 nt
Filed under: uncultured bacterium
Lineage: Bacteria
Description: partial 16S ribosomal RNA
Rfam family: Bacterial small subunit ribosomal RNA
Source: RNAcentral
UACGUAGGUGGCAAGCGUUGUCCGGAAUCACUGGGCGUAAAGCGCGCGCAGGCGGCCGUUUAAGUCUGGGGUGAAAGCCCGAAGCUCAACUUCGGGACUGCCUUGGAUACUGGAUGGCUUGAGCAUUGGAGAGGCAAGGGGAAUUCCACGUGUAGCGGUGAAAUGCGUAGAUAUGUGGAGGAACACCAGUGGCGAAGACGCCUUGCUGGCCAAUUGCUGACGCUGAGGCGCGAAAGUGUGGGGAGCAAACAGG